CAGUCGCGCGGUAAUACAGAGGGUGCGAGCGUUAAUCGGAUUUACUGGGCGUAAAGCGUGCGUAGGCGGCUUCUUAAGUCGGAUGUGAAAUCCCUGAGCUUAACUUAGGAAUUGCAUUCGAUACUGGGAAGCUAGAGUAUGGGAGAGGAUGGUAGAAUUCCAGGUGUAGCGGUGAAAUGCGUAGAGAUCUGGAGGAAUACCGAUGGCGAAGGCAGCCAUCUGGCCUAAUACUGACGCUGAGGUACGAAAGCAUGGGGAGCAAACAGGAUUAGAUACCCCUGUAGUCCCUGUCUCUUAUACA
Molecule: ribosomal RNA, 301 nt
Filed under: uncultured bacterium
Lineage: Bacteria
Description: partial 16S ribosomal RNA
Rfam family: Bacterial small subunit ribosomal RNA
Source: RNAcentral